AGGCCCGGGGCCCGGCCCGCGCUCAGCCUCGGGGGGGACAUCUUCCUCGAAGACGUCGUCGUCACCUACGUCGUCGUCGUACACGUCACCGCCGUCGCCCAGGCCCUCGGAGCAGUAGGAGGCGCUGUGACGCAGUUGCAGCAGCGGACUGCUGGAGCCGCGGGCGGCCUGGCGGGGUCGCUGUGGCGGGCGGGCAGCGCGCUCCGAGAUCCUCUGCAGCGCCCCGUAGCUCAAAUGGCGGGAAGAGGAGAAGGUCGCCGUCGUGGACGACGACGAGAGGAAGAGACGACCUUUUCUGUAUUCUCAGAUCCACACUGUGAGGCGAGCUCACUCCACGAGGCAUGACCCAAACCUUCAUCAAUUUCAGUGCCCAACUCAACCAUUACCUCAGACCAGGAGGUGUUUUUGAGUGAAGGAUGGAGUUACCUGCAGAUGUCCUGGUUUGAAGGGCUGACCGAUAUCCGUGAGAAGGUGCGAGGCGCUGUCACCGAUGUCGGGCUGCCCAGCUGCCGACAACCAAAGAAGUCACAUUAGUAAACUACCGCAAGAACAUUCAACCGGGGCAACCCUGUCCAGCAAAAACCAGGAGCACCGUCUCACCCGCCUAUUUCGACACUCAAGAACAUCUGCCUCGAAUUGAUUCCGCCGAGCACCACUUUGAUCCAGUUUAUGGAUCCGAAACCUGAAGCACUACAGCAAGGAACUACGAAAGUGCCUCAUGGACACCAACAUCAUCAGCACCCAAGUGACACUGGCACCACAUCACUCUGCUUGAUGUCAUUGGCAAGGUUGCCAGGGGCUGGGAGAGCCUGAAGCUGCGACGAUAUCCAACUGUUUCCGCAAGGCUGCUCCCUGCACUGAGGCUGAUGAGACGCCAAGCACGGAGGUCGAUGGUGAGAGCCAGAUCACUGACGAGUUCCUGGACGUCAACAUUGAUCUGCUCUGCCAUGCUCCAGAGGAUAACAAAGGCAGUGUCAUUGAAGCUGUGGCCUCCGAGUGCCCGCAAGACAGCCUCCGAUGACAAUGAUGCCCCGGCCUUAACAGCGAGCACAGCACUGUCUGGUCCACGAGGUGCAGAACGCUUUUUGUUAAACGGACUUCAUGAAAAGUGUAACACAUUUCCAGAAAUUGUUGCGAGCAUUAGAAAGAUACGUUAUGCUAAUCUUGUGCAGUCUGAUAUAAGAUUUUUUUAAAAUAAAAGGUUUAAAUUUGUGUAACUUA
Molecule: long non-coding RNA, 1221 nt
Organism: Callorhinchus milii (elephant shark)
Lineage: Eukaryota; Metazoa; Chordata; Chondrichthyes; Chimaeriformes; Callorhinchidae
Exons: 2
Source: RefSeq, a predicted model, not a curated record